UACGGAGGGGACUAGCGUUGUUCGGAAUUACUGGGCGUAAAGCGCGUGUAGGCGGAUUUGUUAGUCAGGGGUGAAAUCCCGAGGCUCAACCUCGGAACUGCCUUUGAUACUGCAAAUCUCGAGUCCGGAAGAGGUGAGUGGAAUUCCUAGUGUAGAGGUGAAAUUCGUAGAUAUUAGGAAGAACACCAGUGGCGAAGGCGGCUCACUGGUCCGGUACUGACGCUGAGGUGCGAAAGCGUGGGGAGCAAACAGG
RNAcentral lists this ribosomal RNA (253 nucleotides) under uncultured bacterium. Its description in RNAcentral is "partial 16S ribosomal RNA". It matches the Rfam family "Bacterial small subunit ribosomal RNA", at positions 524 to 776 of the family's 1533-position model. The record is from RNAcentral.